This 419-nucleotide ribosomal RNA is filed under the name uncultured bacterium. RNAcentral's name for it is "bacterial SSU rRNA". It matches the Rfam family "Bacterial small subunit ribosomal RNA", at positions 356 to 773 of the family's 1533-position model. The record is from RNAcentral.
GAGGAAUAUUGGUCAAUGGGCGCAAGCCUGAACCAGCCAUCCCGCGUGCAGGAUGACAGCCCUAGAGGUUGUAAACUGCUUUUCUGCAGGAAGAAUAAGGACUACGUGUAGUCCGAUGACUGUACUGUAGGAAUAAGCAUCGGCUAACUCCGUGCCAGCAGCCGCGGUAAUACGGAGGAUGCAAGCGUUAUCCGGAUUUAUUAGGUUUAAAGGGUGCGUAGGCGGAAACUUAAGUCAGUGGUAAAAGGCAAUAGCUUAACUAUUGUAAGCCUUUGAUACUGGGUUUCUUGAGUUCGGUAGAGGUAGGCGGAAUGUGUUGUGUAGCGGUGAAAUGCAUAGAUAUAACACAGAACACCGAUUGCGAAGGCAGCUUACUAUGCCGUUACUGACGCUGAGGCACGAAAGCGUGGGGAUCAAAC